UAAAUGUUAAUGUAACCCCCGUUACAAAUACACUCAGUAAUGAUAUAAAAAGGUCAAUAAAUAUUAAUAAACAACAUGAUAAAAACAGCUAAAAGUUGUGAGGAUAAAAAUAUAAAUAGUAUUCACAUUAAUAAUUUAUAGGUUUUAUUACUAUUUUUGUUUAAAAAGAGAAAUUGUUUUUGUUGUCGAUAAAGUUUAAAGUUUUUUCAAGAGCCCUCCCCAACCUGUGCGGCGCGUAGCGGAGAGAUAGGCCUGUUUAGGGCAGAGACAGCAAGCACGCGCAGCAGAGUAGCCAUUAGCUGAAAAACUACGGUGAAAAACUAAAAUAACGGUGCAAACCUGUUGUCUAGCCAGACCGGAAGAGGGGUGUGAGCCAAAUAAGAUUUUAUGCCAUUACGAGACGAGUUUUGGCCAGGUUUUUGAGUCCCCCCGAGAGUAAUUGGGAGACGGUUCCGGACCGGAUCGUUCUGGACUUCUCCUGAUCCAUGGAUGGCGAGCCUACCCAAGGAGCACGAUAAUCCGGACUGCCUG
This is a long non-coding RNA of Oryzias latipes (Japanese medaka), 531 nucleotides long. RefSeq lists it as uncharacterized. The record is from RefSeq and is a predicted model, not a curated record. NCBI's taxonomy places the organism in Eukaryota, Metazoa, Chordata, Actinopteri, Beloniformes, Adrianichthyidae.